This 253-nucleotide ribosomal RNA is filed under the name uncultured bacterium. RNAcentral's name for it is "partial 16S ribosomal RNA". It matches the Rfam family "Bacterial small subunit ribosomal RNA", at positions 524 to 776 of the family's 1533-position model. The record is from RNAcentral.
UACGAGGGGAGCUAGCGUUGUUCGGAAUUAUUGGGCGUAAAGCGCGUGUAGGCGGCUUGGCAAGUCGGGUGUGAAAGCCCUCAGCUCAACUGAGGGAGUGCGCCCGAAACUGCUGAGCUUGAGUGCCGGAGAGGAUGGCGGAAUACCCCAAGUAGAGGUGAAAUUCGUAGAUAUGGGGUGGAACACCGGUGGCGAAGGCGGCCAUCUGGACGGUAACUGACGCUGAGACGCGAAAGCGUGGGUAGCAAACAGG